GGUUCCGUAGUGUAGCGGUUAGCAUGUAUGCUUUGCACACAGAAGGUCCUGGGUUCACGCCCCAGUGGAGCCA
This 73-nucleotide transfer RNA is filed under the name Pteropus alecto (black flying fox). It matches the Rfam family "tRNA". From Rfam's summary of the family: Transfer RNA (tRNA) molecules are approximately 80 nucleotides in length. Lineage: Eukaryota; Metazoa; Chordata; Mammalia; Chiroptera; Pteropodidae. The record is from Rfam by way of RNAcentral.